RNAcentral lists this ribosomal RNA (253 nucleotides) under uncultured bacterium. RNAcentral's name for it is "partial 16S ribosomal RNA". It matches the Rfam family "Bacterial small subunit ribosomal RNA", at positions 524 to 776 of the family's 1533-position model. The record is from RNAcentral.
UACAGAGGUCUCGAGCGUUGUUCGGAUUCAUUGGGCGUAAAGCGCGCGCAGGCGGCUUGGUAAGUCGGGUGUGAAAAUCCGAGGCUCAACCUCGGACGUGCACCUGAAACUGCCAGGCUAGAGGUAGGUAGGGGAGAUCGGAAUUCCUGGUGUAGCGGUGGAAUGCGCAGAUAUCAGGAGGAACACCGGUGGCGAAGGCGGAUCUCUGGGCCUUACCUGACGCUCAGGCGCGAAAGCUAGGGGAGCGAACAGG